CGGACGGGUGGAGUAACGACGUGGAAAACCGUAGCCGUAUACUGGGGAGUAACACUUAGAAAUAGGUGCUAAUACCGCAUAAGCGCACAGCUUCGCAUGAAGUGGUGUGAAAACUACUGGUGGUAUACGAUGGUUCCGCGUCUGAUUAGCUUGUUGGCGGGGUAAUGGCUCACCAAGGCGACGAUCAGUAGCCGGCCUGAGAGGGUGAACGGCCACAUUGGGACUGAGACACGGCCCAAACUCCUACGGGAGGCAGCAG
RNAcentral lists this ribosomal RNA (259 nucleotides) under uncultured bacterium. RNAcentral describes it as "partial 16S ribosomal RNA". It matches the Rfam family "Bacterial small subunit ribosomal RNA", at positions 99 to 354 of the family's 1533-position model. The record is from RNAcentral.